ACUGACGCUGAGGAGCGAAAGCGUGGGGAGCGAACAGGAUUAGAUACCCUGGUAGUCCACGCCGUAAACGGUGGAUGCUGGAUGUGGGGCCCGUUCCACGGGUUCCGUGUCGGAGCUAACGCGUUAAGCAUCCCGCCUGGGGAGUACGGCCGCAAGGCUAAAACUCAAAGAAAUUGACGGGGGCCCGCACAAGCGGCGGAGCAUGCGGAUUAAUUCGAUGCAACGCGAAGAACCUUACCUGGGCUUGACAUGUUCCCGACAGCCGUAGAGAUGCGGCCUCCCUUCGGGGCGGGUUCACAGGUGGUGCAUGGUCGUCGUCAGCUCGUGUCGUGAGAUGUUGGGUUAAGUCCCGCAACGAGCGCAACCCUCGCCCUGUGUUGCCAGCACGUCAUGGUGGGAACUCACGGGGGACCGCCGGGGUCAACUCGGAGGAAGGUGGGGAUGACGUCAGAUCAUCAUGCCCCUUACGUCCAGGGCUUCACGCAUGCUACAAUGGCCGGUACAACGGGAUGCGACAUGGCGACAUGGAGCGGAUCCCUGAAAACCGGUCUCAGUUCGGAUUGGAGUCUGCAACCCGACUCCAUGAAGGCGGAGUCGCUAGUAAUCGCGGAUCAGCAACGCCGCGGUGAAUGCGUUCCCGGGCCUUGUACACACCGCCCGUCAAGUCAUGAAAGUGGGUAGCACCCGAAGCCGGUGGCCUAAC
This 703-nucleotide ribosomal RNA is filed under the name Bifidobacterium pseudocatenulatum. RNAcentral describes it as "bacterial SSU rRNA". It matches the Rfam family "Bacterial small subunit ribosomal RNA", at positions 739 to 1439 of the family's 1533-position model. Lineage: Bacteria; Bacillati; Actinomycetota; Actinomycetes; Bifidobacteriales; Bifidobacteriaceae. The record is from RNAcentral.